RNAcentral lists this ribosomal RNA (253 nucleotides) under uncultured bacterium. RNAcentral's name for it is "partial 16S ribosomal RNA". It matches the Rfam family "Bacterial small subunit ribosomal RNA", at positions 524 to 776 of the family's 1533-position model. The record is from RNAcentral.
UACGUAGGGUGCGAGCGUUGUCCGGAAUUAUUGGGCGUAAAGAGCUUGUAGGCGGUCUGUCGCGUCUGCUGUGAAAAUCCGGGGCUCAACCCCGGACUUGCAGUGGGUACGGGCAGACUAGAGUGUGGUAGGGGAGACUGGAAUUCCUGGUGUAGCGGUGAAAUGCGCAGAUAUCUGCAGGAACACCCGUGGCGAAAGCGGCGCGCUGGACCACUACUGACGCUGAGGAACGAAAGCUAGGGGAGCAAACAGG